Non-coding RNA from Silurus meridionalis, 1351 nucleotides. NCBI's taxonomy places the organism in Eukaryota, Metazoa, Chordata, Actinopteri, Siluriformes, Siluridae. The record is from the annotation of a RefSeq genome assembly.
AUGUUCCUUCAUGAAAAUUGGGGAAAAGUCCUGAGUGAACAGUGCUCAUAAUCACAUACAGUUCCAGGCAUGCACAAGUGUUAACUCCCAACAUGCUCCUUCAUUUAAAUAUAAUAAUAAUUCUGCAGUGCAGGAGGAUCAUGGACAUUUGACAGUCCAUAUCUGAUUACUUCACCUGAAAUCUUCUUUACCUGCAUCUCCAUUAUUUGUUUGAAAAGAUAAAGAGGUUAUCAUUAUGUGCAACUUGUUUAUUUUUUCACUUGGAUUACUCUGAAAGUUUAAAUUAAAUAAAUCUAAACACUGAACUGUAAAAGAAACAGUUUAGUCCACUAUGUCCAGUUUUUGUGAACACACUAUGGGACAAUAGGAGGCGCUGUUGUACUGUGUCGCUCCAUACAAAUAUAUAAUUUCUGCAUUUCAGUUUUGAAGUCAUAAAAAACACCAGCAGCAAGUAUCGCAUUACUUCUCCCUGACAUCAUCAUGAAAUUCAUUAAUAAAAAAAUAAAGUGAAUCCAUUUUUAUAAAACUCUUGUACAUGUGCUUUAUCUCAUAAUGUCUUAUUCCUGAGAAAAUAGUUUUUCUCUUCAAGGAUGACGUCAUGAUGCAAAUUUUUGUCCAUGCAGUAUUUAUGUGCAGCUGAGCUGAGUUGAGCAGUAGAGUCUCAUCAACACUCACCAUGAAGAUCUCACUCUCUUUACUCCUGCUACUGAUCAGCUUCAUCAGUAUGAAAUGUCAAAGUCUCGAGUCGUUACAAACCUCAGUGCUGAAGAAACCUGGAGAAACACUGAGUCUCUCCUGCAGAGGAUCUGGGUUUACUUUUGGAAGCUACGACAUGCACUGGAUCAGACAGCAGGAGAACAAACCACUGGUGUGGAUGGGACGUGUUUGGUCAGGUGGAAAUGGCAAUAACUAUGCUAAUUCCUUCACAGGAAGAAUAGAAAUCACCAGAGAUAAUUCCAACAGCAUGGUGUAUCUGAAACUCUCUGGUGUGACAGCAGAGGACACAGCUGUGUAUUACUGCUCACGAAGCACAGUAGCAGAAAUAUGAGGAAACACUGUACAAAAACAUCAGUGGUGCAGCUGAUUCAUUACAUCUGGUGUUGAAGAGCUUUUAGAGAGAUUUUAGAGCUCAUUUUUUGUUUAAAAUUAAUUAUCUGUAAUGUACAAUAUUCCCUCAUUUAGUUCCUCAUGAUAGAUACUCACAGUAACAUGAAUGAUUUUCAACAAAGAUUUAGAUCAAUAAAAAAUUUACCCUAAAUCAAGAAUAUACACUUGUAUGUGCUGUUUAAAGAAAUCAUGUGAUUGUGUCAUGUGAUGUGGCUUGAUGUAAAGUCGAUUUACUAACACCCGG